Molecule: ribosomal RNA, 812 nt
Filed under: Parnassius epaphus (common red apollo)
Lineage: Eukaryota; Metazoa; Arthropoda; Insecta; Lepidoptera; Papilionidae
Description: 12S ribosomal RNA
Source: RNAcentral
UAACACUAAAAUCUAUAUGAGAAAAUUUUAUAUAUAAAUAAAUUUUUAUGAUUUAAAAAAAUUUAAUUUAAAUUUAUUUUACAUGUAAAUUUUAGUGUUAAUUUUUAAUUAUUUUAAUAAUAAUUAUUAAUAUUUGCAGUAAUUAAAAUUAAAAAUUUAAGAAAUUAAGAUUUAGAAAUAUUUUGAUUAUUAACAAAUUUUGUGCCAGCAGUUGCGGUUAUACAAAAAAUAAUUUAAAUUUUAUCGGUAUAUAAUAAAUAAGAAUUAUUAUUUAAAUUAAAUAUUAAAUUAUUAAGUGAAAUUUUAAUUUAAUUAAAAUUUAUAUUAAUUUUAUGAUUUAUUAAAUUUUAUAAAAAACUAGGAUUAGAUACCCUACUAUUAAAAAUUAAAUUUAUAAUACUAAAAUAGUAGAUAAUAAUUUAUUGAAACUUAAAUAAUUUGGCGGUAUUUUAGUUCAUUUAGAGGAAUCUGUUUAAUAAUUGAUAAUCCACGAAUAAAUUUACUUAAUUUAUUAUUUUGUAUAUCGUUGUUAAAAAAAUAUUUUUUAAUAAAAAUAAUAUUUAAAAAUUUUUAUAUAAAAUUAAUUCAGAUCAAGAUGCAGAUUAUAAUUAAGAAUAUAAUGGAUUACAAUAAAUAAAUUUAAAUGAAUAAUAUUUUUUAAUAAAUAUUUGAAGGUGGAUUUAAAUGUAAUUUUAAUUAAUUUAUUAAAAUGAUUAUAUAUUAAAAUAUGUACAUAUUGCCCGUCGCUUUCAUUAAUAAAUUGGAAUAAGUCGUAACAAAGUAGAGGUACUGGAAAGUGUUUCUAGAAAGAA